Molecule: RNA transcript, 3396 nt
Organism: Triticum urartu
Lineage: Eukaryota; Viridiplantae; Streptophyta; Magnoliopsida; Poales; Poaceae
Source: RefSeq, a predicted model, not a curated record
CCGUGGACCAGAAUCGCCGUGCACGUCUGAUCCGUGGAUUAGGUUGUUGCCUUUUCCGGUUGGUGGGGUCAGGGGGAAAUGGAUGCACCGUCUAGUGUCUUCUCGGCCUAUUGCAGGUUGGGGACUGGAGUCGUCGAGAGAAGGCGAGCCGGCGACAGACCAUGGAGUUCUUGAUGCAGUCCAUACGCGGAUCCUCUUUCCUGGAGGAGGCAGGCGAGAGUAUGGUGCCACCUCCUGUGCCGGAGCAGCAACUGCCGGAUCAGGGUGUGGUGGAGCAGGCACCGGCGAUGAGAGAUGGACUGGUGGCGGAGCAGGGUGCGGGGGAGCUGGCACCGGCGGAUGGCAGCGCGGACGCCCAGAUCUUGGCGGUCGCUGACGCGGCGGUGGAAAGGAGGGAGAGAUCUCCCCCGGCUUUGGAACUGUCAACCGGAAAGAUGAAUCCCUGAGCCCCUAGGUGGAACAAAAGGUUGACGAUUGGAGCUGCAGCACCUUGCCCAAACCCGCGCCAAUGCAUUUGAGAAGGCUGUCAGGAGCUUUGUUGGGAACCCAGCUGAUAAUAUGAUUACAUUAGUUAUUGGCACUAGAUUUGACUCGGUGGGUGAGGCGUAUGACUUCUAGAAUUUGUACUCAUGGGACAAGGGCUUUGGCAUUUGAUACAAUAAGAUCCAGCUGAACGUGGAGAGGACAAAAUGGAUGCAGGAAAUAGUUUGUGGGUGUGCGGUGACAGCUGGUGUCGAGAACACAGGGUCCAAGCUUACAGUGAAGGUAGAAUCAAGAAUCUGAUGUGGGCAAGUGGGCGCAGCAGGCUGUAGUACUCGUUUGGGGAUGUCAUAACAUUCGACGCAACAUACAGUACCAACCUAUAUGACAUGCCUUUCGGCCUAUUUGUUGGGGUUAACAAACACUUCCAGAGUGUGAUUAUGGCUGGUGUUCUUGUUUGCGACGAGACCUAAGAGAGUUUCAAGUGGGUUUUCUCAGAAUUCGUAAGAAUGAUGGGUGGUUCUCCACUCGUGACCAUACUUGCAGACCAAAACCGUGCUAUGGAAUUGGCUAUCGAUAACAUUAUGUCGGGGGUGACACACCGAUGGUGCAAAUGGCACAUUUUGAAGUAAGCAAAGGAGUCGUUGGGUGCUCUGUACACAAAGAAAGUGAUUUCAGGGCUGGAUUUUAUAAAGUGAUAAACCAUAUGCUGACAGAAGAUGAAUUUGAUUAAGGGUGGGAAUUACUGUUGGACAAAUACAAACUAAGGGCACACCCAUAAAUGAUUCGGCUGUUCGAGAUUCAGAAGAAAUGGGCUAAACCUUAUUUCAAGGGUUUUUUGUACAAAGAUGACCAGCUCACAGAGGAGUGAGAGUGCGAACCAUAUGCUGAAGAAUCACGUGCCUCCUGGGUGCCCAAUGCACAUGUUUGUGCACAAAUACUUGAGGCUACAAUUCGACCGGGAAUCAGAGGAGAACUAUGAAGAGAAAAGAAUGCAAAUUAGAAGGCCACUCAUGAGAGCAAACCUGGCAGUGGAGAGGCAUGCUAGCAAGAUAUAUACAAGGGCCAUGUUUGAGCAGUUUGGUCAUAUAUUGUACGAAUGUGAAGCUUAUCAUGUGGAAGAGAUCGAGACACACAAGACAUAUGUUGCAAUCCAUAGCGAAGCAGAAAAGAGUAAGUGGUGUAGAGUGUCAUACAAGGUAACUAUGCUUGACGGAGGCAAUGAAUUCGACUGUGAGUGCGGACAAUUUGCACACAUGGGCCUACUUUGCAGUCAUGUGUUGAAAGUUUGUGCUUAAUGAUUGCCGGUUCAUUUUGAUUCAUUUCUGGUUGAAUGAUGGAUUUCCCGAUCCGGUAUUGAGUUGUGGCUUUUCUGUCACAGCUGCUAGAUUUCAUUUGGGCCAAAGAAAUACAAGCGAAGCAUCGUGAAGAGGUGGACGAAGGAUGCUCGGGACAUACUGCUGCACACUUAGCACAAUAUCAGAAAGACAGUAUGCAGAACAUCCCGUACGCAUAAAGGCACUUCACCAUGUAAUGCAUGCGAUGGAGCUGGUCAGGCUCGGUGACACCAGUGUGGAAGUGUACAAUCGGUUGAUGGACCUCUUCAAGUCGAACUUGUCAGUAAUGUUACCGUACGCAGAAAUUAGAGAUGGUCUUGGUCUAGAGGAUAGGCUUGCAGACAAGGGAGAUGUGGUGAACCAAUCAAACCCAAUGAUAGUAGUAAGAGAACAGAACCAUAGUGGGCAGCAAGCUAUGGCUGAUUUUGGAGAGACUGACUCGAUGUCAAGGACAAGCAACUGCUUGUCCUCUGUUUCAUACUUGCAUGUUGCCUUCCAUGAGCUUUUGACUGUUUUCUGUUCAGCCCUGCAUGCUGUCGCUACUUGUAUAUAUCGUCGCAUUAAAAUUUCUUGAUUGAUCAGAAGAGCUUCUUUGUGGUGGUGGUGCCAUUAUUGCUUAUAAUUUUUUUAUGUAGGUAAAAAUGCUUUGGUAUUGACGUCAUGUAAUUAGAUGUAGCAGUGGCAACUCGUACGCCCAAGGAGAGAGAUGGAGCUAGCUUCAGCCUUAUUUUGAACUAAUCUCAGGGGGGUCACACUGGGUGCAAGCAUCGGCUGCGGCGCUGAGUUUUCAGAAGGGGGGGUUGGUUCAGAGGCAAAUGUGAACCAGGCUGCGUCUGCACGAUCAGAUGGGAGUGUUGUUUCCCGCAUGUUGAAUGGAUCAUUUCAGAGCUCGCCAGUUCACGGCCAUGCGCUGGUGGCUACUGUCUACAUCGAUGAUAAGCUUCAUGUUGAUCCGGAGGCUGCUAUGGAACCAGAAGCAGGUGGAGUGGAGGGGACUGGCGAGCACGAUCCAACUGCUAUCGUAUCUGCUGACUCAUGGCCAUGACAGCGAGCAAUGGCAGCAGAGGAAUCUUGCAGUGGAAGGAUGCGGGAGGAGCUGAAUUAAUGGGUGCCGUGGGGGGACGUCCGUUUGGUGGCUGACGACUGAGCCGUGGCUCAUGAUGCAACUCUUCAUCUGAGCCGUGGUUGUGACAAUGACGGCCGUUGCAUUUAAUGCGGUGGUUGAGUGGGCCACAACCUGCGAAAAAGCCCGGCAUACUCCUCCAAAUACAGAGUAAAAUACUGACAGUGGUCCGAAUCUUAGCGCUACACAACGGCUGAGAUAAAGGGAACAUCUGAGCUCGAGCUCAGAAUAUGACUUUCGCGCUGAAGAAACGAAGCCUCGGACACUCAGAAGCUUUCUGUUUUGCUUCCUGUAGCGUGUUCCUUUUUUUAGGGGAGCCUGUAGUAGUGAUCUCUGUUAUCAUCGUACUCCCUCCGUUUUUAUUUACUCUGCAUAUUAGGUUUCACUGAAGUCAAACUUUGUAAAGUUUGACCAAGUUUAUAGAAAAAAAUAUAAACAUUUAACAUAACAAAUCUA